AAGCAUAUCAAUAAGCGGAGGAAAAGAAACCAACAGGGAUUGCCCUAGUAACGGCGAGUGAAGCGGCAACAGCUCAAAUUUGAAAUCUGGCUUUCGGGCCCGAGUUGUAAUUUGUAGAGGAUGACUUUGAUGCGGUGCCUUCCGAGUUCCCUGGAACGGGACGCCAUAGAGGGUGAGAGCCCCGUCUGGUUGGAUGCCAAAUCUCUGUAAGUCUCCUUCGACGAGUCGAGUAGUUUGGGAAUGCUGCUCUAAAUGGGAGGUAUAUGUCUUCUAAAGCUAAAUACCGGCCAGAGACCGAUAGCGCACAAGUAGAGUGAUCGAAAGAUGAAAAGCACUUUGAAAAGAGAGUUAAAAAGUACGUGAAAUUGUUGAAAGGGAAGCGUUUAUGACCAGACUUGGGCUUGGUUAAUCAUCUGGGGUUCUCCCCAGUGCACUUUUCCAGUCCAGGCCAGCAUCAGUUUUCGCCGGGGGAUAAAGGCUUCGGGAAUGUGGCUCCCCUCGGGGAGUGUUAUAGCCCGUUGUGUAAUACCCUGGCGGGGACUGAGGUUCGCGCUUCUGCAAGGAUGCUGGCGUAAUGGUCAUCAACGACCCGUCUUGAAACACGGACCAAGGAGUCGUCUUCGUAUGCGAGUGUUCGGGUGUCAAACCCCUACGCGUAAUGAAAGUGAACGCAGGUGAGAGCUUCGGCGCAUCAUCGACCGAUCCUGAUGUUCUCGGAUGGAUUUGAGUAAGAGCAUACGGGGCCGGACCCGAAAGAAGGUGAACUAUGCCUGUGUAGGGUGAAGCCAGAGGAAACUCUGGUGGAGGCUCGCAGCGGUUCUGACGUGCAAAUCGAUCGUCAAACAUGGGCAUGGGGGGCGAAAGACUAAUCGAACCUUCUAGUAGCUGGUUUCCGCCG
RNAcentral lists this ribosomal RNA (898 nucleotides) under Fusarium acuminatum. RNAcentral describes it as "LSU rRNA". It matches the Rfam family "Eukaryotic large subunit ribosomal RNA", at positions 36 to 963 of the family's 3401-position model. The record is from RNAcentral. Lineage: Eukaryota; Fungi; Ascomycota; Sordariomycetes; Hypocreales; Nectriaceae.